This 565-nucleotide ribosomal RNA is filed under the name Kregervanrija fluxuum. RNAcentral describes it as "eukaryotic LSU rRNA". It matches the Rfam family "Eukaryotic large subunit ribosomal RNA", at positions 62 to 648 of the family's 3401-position model. The record is from RNAcentral. Lineage: Eukaryota; Fungi; Ascomycota; Pichiomycetes; Pichiales; Pichiaceae.
ANACCAACAGGGAUUGCCUCAGUAGCGGCGAGUGAAGCGGCAAAAGCUCAAAUUUGAAAUCUGGUAGUUCUGCUACCCGAGUUGUAAUUUGUAGAAAACUGUCUUUGUUAGGGUGCCUGUCUAAGUUCCUUGGAACAGGACGUCGCAGAGGGUGAGAAUCCCGUGUGAUGGGUGGCCCGAGCUUUUAAGGCGUUUUCGAAGAGUCGAGUUGUUUGGGAAUGCAGCUCUAAGUGGGUGGUAAAUUCCAUCUAAAGCUAAAUAUUGGCGAGAGACCGAUAGCGAACAAGUACAGUGAUGGAAAGAUGAAAAGAACUUUGAAAAGAGAGUGAAACAGUACGUGAAAUUGUUGAAAGGGAAGGGUAUUUGAUCCGACAUGGGAUUUACUCAUCAUUGCUCCUUGUGGGUGGUGCUCUGGGUUUUUUCUGGGCCAGAAUCAGUUUGUGUGGCAGGAUAAAGGCGUGAGGAAGUAGCUCUUCUGGAGCAAUAUAACUCAUGUUAAUACUGCCUAUGCGGACUGAGGAAUGCGGUUUUUACCAAGGAUUCUGGCAUAACGAUUAAAUACCGC